This 403-nucleotide ribosomal RNA is filed under the name uncultured bacterium. RNAcentral's name for it is "bacterial SSU rRNA". It matches the Rfam family "Bacterial small subunit ribosomal RNA", at positions 355 to 776 of the family's 1533-position model. The record is from RNAcentral. RNAcentral also lists the same sequence under 2 other names.
UGGGGAAUAUUGCGCAAUGGGGGCAACCCUGACGCAGCAACGCCGCGUGCGGGACGAAGGCCUUCGGGUUGUAAACCGCUUUCAGCAGGGAAGACAUCGACGGUACCUGCAGAAGAAGCCCCGGCUAACUACGUGCCAGCAGCCGCGGUAACACGUAGGGGGCGAGCGUUAUCCGGAUUCAUUGGGCGUAAAGCGCGCGCAGGCGGCCGGCUAAGCGGGACCUCUAAUCCCGGGGCUCAACCCCGGGCCGGGUCCCGAACUGGCCGGCUCGUGUCCGGUAGGGGCAGGCGGAAUUCCCGGUGUAGCGGUGGAAUGCGCAGAUAUCGGGAAGAACACCGAUGGCGAAGGCAGCCUGCUGGGCCGCGACAGACGCUGAGGCGCGAAAGCUAGGGGAGCGAACAGG